UCGAUUCCCUUAGUAGCGGCGAGCGAAACGGGAAGAGCCCAAACCAACAAGCUUGCUUGUUGGGGUUGUAGGACACUCUAUACGGAGUUACAAAGGACGACAUUAGACGAAUCAUCUGGAAAGAUGAAUCAAAGAAGGUAAUAAUCCUGUAGUCGAAAAUGUUGUCUCUCUUGAGUGGAUCCUGAGUACGACGGAGCACGUGAAAUUCCGUCGGAAUCUGGGAGGACCAUCUCCUAAGGCUAAAUACUCUCUAGUGACCGAUAGUGAACCAGUACCGUGAGGGAAAGGUGAAAAGCACCCCGGAAGGGGAGUGAAAUAGAACCUGAAACCGUGUGCUUACAAGUAGUCAGAGCCCGUUAAUGGGUGAUGGCGUGCCUUUUGUAGAAUGAACCGGCGAGUUACGAUUUGAUGCAAGGUUAAGCAGUAAAUGUGGAGCCGUAGCGAAAGCGAGUCUGAAUAGGGCGUUUAGUAUUUGGUCGUAGACCCGAAACCAGGUGAUCUACCCUUGGUCAGGUUGAAGUUCAGGUAACACUGAAUGGAGGACCGAACCGACUUACGUUGAAAAGUGAGCGGAUGAACUGAGGGUAGCGGAGAAAUUCCAAUCGAACCUGGAGAUAGCUGGUUCUCUCCGAAAUAGCUUUAGGGCUAGCCUCAAGUGAUGAUUAUUGGAGGUAGAGCACUGUUUGGACGAGGGGCCCCUCUCGGGUUACCGAAUUCAGACAAACUCCGAAUGCCAAUUAAUUUAACUUGGGAGUCAGAACAUGGGUGAUAAGGUCCGUGUUCGAAAGGGAAACAGCCCAGACCACCAGCUAAGGUCCCAAAAUAUAUGUUAAGUGGAAAAGGAUGUGGCGUUGCCCAGACAACUAGGAUGUUGGCUUAGAAGCAGCCAUCAUUUAAAGAGUGCGUAAUAGCUCACUAGUCGAGUGACACUGCGCCGAAAAUGUACCGGGGCUAAACAUAUUACCGAAGCUGUGGAUUGUCCUUUGGACAAUGGUAGGAGAGCGUUCUAAGGGCGUUGAAGCAUGAUCGUAAGGACAUGUGGAGCGCUUAGAAGUGAGAAUGCCGGUGUGAGUAGCGAAAGACGGGUGAGAAUCCCGUCCACCGAUUGACUAAGGUUUCCAGAGGAAGGCUCGUCCGCUCUGGGUUAGUCGGGUCCUAAGCUGAGGCCGACAGGCGUAGGCGAUGGAUAACAGGUUGAUAUUCCUGUACCACCUAUAAUCGUUUUAAUCGAUGGGG
RNAcentral lists this ribosomal RNA (1236 nucleotides) under Staphylococcus aureus. RNAcentral describes it as "bacterial LSU rRNA". It matches the Rfam family "Bacterial large subunit ribosomal RNA", at positions 231 to 1469 of the family's 2925-position model. The record is from RNAcentral. Lineage: Bacteria; Bacillati; Bacillota; Bacilli; Caryophanales; Staphylococcaceae.